CGUCUAGGCGGGAUGGUUAGUCAGAUGUGAAAGCCCACGGCUCAACCGUGGAAUUGCAUUUGAAACUGCCAUCCUUGAGUACGGAAGAGGAAAGCGGAAUUCCUGGUGUAGCGGUGAAAUGCGUAGAUAUCAGGAAGAACACCGGUGGCGAAGGCGGCUUUCUGGUCCGAUACUGACGCUAAAGCGCGAAAGUGUGGGGAGCGAACAGGAUUAGAUACCCUGGUAGUCC
Molecule: ribosomal RNA, 229 nt
Filed under: uncultured bacterium
Lineage: Bacteria
Description: partial 16S ribosomal RNA
Rfam family: Bacterial small subunit ribosomal RNA
Source: RNAcentral